RNAcentral lists this ribosomal RNA (267 nucleotides) under uncultured bacterium. RNAcentral describes it as "partial 16S ribosomal RNA". It matches the Rfam family "Bacterial small subunit ribosomal RNA", at positions 87 to 354 of the family's 1533-position model. The record is from RNAcentral.
CCCGGCGACCGGCGCAUGGGUGAGUAACACGUAUGGAACCUGCCCGCAGCAGGGGGAUAAGCGGAAGAAAUUCCGUCUAAUACCGCGUAACACCGCGGAGGGGCAUCCCUCGGCGGUUAAAGAUUCAUCGGCUGCGGAUGGCCAUGCGGCGCAUUAGCUAGUCGGCGGGGUAACGGCCCACCGAGGCGACGAUGCGUAGGGGUUCUGAGAGGAAGGUCCCCCACACUGGUACUGAGACACGGACCAGACUCCUACGGGAGGCAGCAG